Long non-coding RNA from Stomoxys calcitrans (stable fly), 1034 nucleotides. RefSeq lists it as uncharacterized. The record is from RefSeq and is a predicted model, not a curated record. The transcript is spliced from 3 exons. Lineage: Eukaryota; Metazoa; Arthropoda; Insecta; Diptera; Muscidae.
GCAAUGAAACGGUUGUCUGAGCGGAAGACCCCUCAAAGUACAGAAGGCCGGGCCACCAUUUAAGGCAAAUACUUUAACAACAUAGAAAUCUUAACACUUUAGUGCCAAACGCAAAAGUAAACAAAUAAAAAAAAUAUACAAGCGACAAUAAAUAUUUAGCAAAAACAAAACAAAAGCCAACAAUAAAAAGAAGAGAGAUAAACAAAAAAGAAAAACAAUAAUAAAAAGAAAAUAAAUUUCAAAAUCCAGUGUGGUGCAGCUGUGGUGGUGAAAUUGCAUUUAAGAAUGCAAAAAAAUAAUAAAAAAAUAGUUUUUUAUUGUUUAUUAUAAAACAAAAUAUAAAUAAAUGCAAGUGUUAAUUAGAAAAACUAAGUGCUCAGUCAAACAGCAUGAGGAGAAAAAUCCUUGUUACAAAAAACAUCAUCAGUCAUAUUUCAUUUCUCUGGCGUAGUCCAUGCCACCAGCUCGCUAAAUGCUAAAAGCUUCCGCGAAUAAUUGAUUGUUUCCGGUAAAAGUAAUUUUCAUUUGUUUUGGACAGCACUAAAACCCCCCUCUCAAUUCCACUACCACAAAGUAUCGUCGUUUUGUGUGCGAAAAACCAUUUUCCGUUUUUGGUUGUCCUUUUGUUUUUGUUACAAGAAUUACAGCAUUCGUGGUUGCACCGCACCGCAUCGCAUUGCAAGUGAAUACAAAAGAGCGGACUGCAUUUCGCGCGUGAUUGUUGAAUUUUGAAACGAAGACACGCAUAACGCCUUUCGUUUAUGUGGCGCCCCAGCCAUUGAAAGCACCUAUAGAGAAACCCCUUCCACACGCCGCAUAUGUGCUGAUGCAACCCCCCACUGUGAACUCAUUGUCUAUUACCACAAUACGUUGCAAGGCUUAAUUAGCACUUUCUGCAUCUACGGCUAAUGAGUACAGAUUUUUCAGAGGCUGUUCUCUUAAAGAAAUGUCCAUUAUGAAGAAUUUGCAACUUGUUCACUGAUUCCAUUUAAAAAUUACUUGGAUGCCAAGUAAUCCUGCAGGCUGCAAGCUCA